This is a long non-coding RNA of Glycine soja, 236 nucleotides long. RefSeq lists it as uncharacterized. NCBI's taxonomy places the organism in Eukaryota, Viridiplantae, Streptophyta, Magnoliopsida, Fabales, Fabaceae. The transcript is spliced from 3 exons. The record is from RefSeq and is a predicted model, not a curated record.
CAGAGAUGAUGACUGGUCCAUUGAAGAGAAGAAUAACACACUGUCAUUUCCCUCUUAGUACAUUGAUGAAAAUGCAGUUAUUUGCUUGGAUGGUGAUGGCUGCAAGGUUCGCAAUGGGUUGGCUACUAUUGAAGGAGAUUCUGAUCUCGAUACAUCAAUAGCCUGUGAUUCAUGUGAUAUAUGGUAUCAUGCCUUCUAUGUGGGAUUUGAUACUGAAGGUACAUCAGACAGUACAU